UUCUGCUUUAAAAGGCUCACCCACUUUCUGCAAUUCUUGUAAAUAAAUUAAUCAUAUACUUUUCAAAAAUUAUGCUUAACUUUAUAUUCCUUCCUGCUUUUGAGGAUAAACUUUAGAUUCCAUGCAUGAAUUUAUGGACAUAUUAUACGCAUACAUAUCAAAUAUCAAAAGUACCGUUAUACUAAUGUGGAUAUCUUUGUGUGUACACAUUGGUGUUUCCUUCAAGUGAUGUAAUUCAUAUAAUUAUAAAAUGUUAUCUAUUAGACAUUUACCGACAAUUUGUAGUGUAUCAGUUCUUCUUUUGGACUAUAGAUGAAGUGGGAUAAGUAAAUAGAAAAGUUUUGCUGCAUCAUAACUGGUAUUAUUACUUUGAAUUGUUUUUUUAAAGAAGUUCAGAUGGUAGUGCAUGGAAUCAACACGUAUUACUUUGAAUUGUUUGCAAGUCACGUGUGUAUACUGGAGGUUGAAAUUUAAGAACCAUGGAUUUAGUCGAACUAUAUACCAAAUAUUAAAGCAAUAUAAAUUAAAGAUAUAAAUAUAUAUAUCAAACUAAAGAGACCUUUAGUUUUGGAAACAUGAAAUAAUAUGUAGCCAUGUAGGUGGACAAAUCUAUAUUAUAAUAGAAGAGUUUUUACUCUCUUCCGAAGCUAUCCACCUCAGCACUAUGUGGAUCCCGCUUAUAAAUCUAAACAUUAAAACAACAAAAGGGAAUUGUAUCGUCAACUUAACCUAUAUUUGCUCUUUCUCUCACGGCGUUGAUCCUCCCUUCUCUGUCCUCGAUCUGCUUCUCUCAUGGGGCCAUAGACACACACUGGUCCUUGGUCUCAACUUCACCAGCGCGCCUCCAUCUCCAGGGACAGAUCAAAGGAAACGUCAACAGUUCUGUGCUUAACUCGAGAAAUCUAAGAUCUGAUUACGAUUCUCCCCAUGCGGCUCCUGUUUCUGUGAAAGGAAGAAGGUACAUUGAUCUGAACAAUGAUAUUGACGAAGGAGAAGAUUCGAUUGGAAGAUGAAGGUGUGGCUAGGAUCAAUAGAAAGCUCUCUGAUGAUUUUCUUUUUCUGAAAAGGAAGUCUCUGAUGAUUUUGAUAGUCUUUGGAGAGAUGAAAACCAAAGCCAAUAAGAAAUCAGUUAAAUCUGAUUCGGUGAGGAAGAUAUUGAAGGAGAAGCAGAAGACUAAGGUUGAGGAAACAAGUCCAACGAGAACAUCUCCAAGAUUGUAUUUAUAACUCCUGGAGAUUUUCGACGAACAUAAAAAGUGAAGAGGAACACAAGAUUUGGGAUCAGUGGAGAAUUUUCAGAUCUUUGUAAGCGAUUAUUGAAUGAUUUUUACCAAGAUGAACUCAAAAUUUCGAUGCAGAGGCAUGCAUUGCAUAAGAUGAAUACUGCAGGAAACCGCAAGCAUAGUGACUGGCAGAAGACUUAUGAUCUGUUCAUAUUAAAAAGUCCAGGCAAUGGUUUAUAACGGUAUAUAUAGUCAUAACGGAACGGAGGUGGAAGCAGGAAUAAAAAACAUGGAAGAUGAUAUUGAACAAGAGAACUAAAUUACACCUAAAUGUUCAAGACAUUUUAUCGUGUAACCAAGUGACUAAUUGCAUAUGUACAAUUAACAAUGAGAACACAUUCUAUUUGAUAGCGCAUCAACUGUGAAAUCCCAUAACAUUGUUAAAUACUAUAGGAAAAAAAAAGAAAAAAUUAAUUUA
This is a long non-coding RNA of Brassica napus (rape), 1701 nucleotides long. RefSeq lists it as uncharacterized. The transcript has 5 exons. Lineage: Eukaryota; Viridiplantae; Streptophyta; Magnoliopsida; Brassicales; Brassicaceae. The record is from RefSeq and is a predicted model, not a curated record.